This 539-nucleotide ribosomal RNA is filed under the name uncultured bacterium. Its description in RNAcentral is "partial 16S ribosomal RNA". It matches the Rfam family "Bacterial small subunit ribosomal RNA", at positions 355 to 912 of the family's 1533-position model. The record is from RNAcentral.
UGGGGAAUAUUGGACAAUGGGCGCAAGCCUGAUCCAGCAAUGCCGCGUGAGUGAUGAAGGCCUUAGGGUUGUAAAGCUCUUUCGCACGCGACGAUGAUGACGGUAGCGUGAGAAGAAGCCCCGGCUAACUUCGUGCCAGCAGCCGCGGUAAUACGAAGGGGGCUAGCGUUGUUCGGAAUUACUGGGCGUAAAGGGCGCGUAGGCGGCCUGUUUAGUCAGAAGUGAAAGCCCCGGGCUCAACCUGGGAAUAGCUUUUGAUACUGGCAGGCUUGAGUUCCGGAGAGGAUGGUGGAAUUCCCAGUGUAGAGGUGAAAUUCGUAGAUAUUGGGAAGAACACCGGUGGCGAAGGCGGCCAUCUGGACGGACACUGACGCUGAGGCGCGAAAGCGUGGGGAGCAAACAGGACUAGAUACCCUGGUAGUCCACGCCGUAAACGAUGAAUGCUAGACGUCGGGGUGCAUGCACUUCGGUGUCGCCGCUAACGCAUUAAGCAUUCCGCCUGGGGAGUACGGCCGCAAGGUUAAAACUCAAAGGAAUUG